Molecule: non-coding RNA, 473 nt
Organism: Paramuricea clavata
Lineage: Eukaryota; Metazoa; Cnidaria; Anthozoa; Malacalcyonacea; Plexauridae
Source: the annotation of a GenBank genome assembly
CGAAUACUUCAAAAUGCAGCAAGUUAUUAUAUCAUUUCGGAAGUUCUUUUGAAUGAAAUGAUAAAAAGAAUUGAGGUUAGGUGCACUUUAAUGAAGUAGUAUGGGUCAAACUGAAAGAAAUUAAGACUAUUUAUCACAAGCUAAAACUAUAGCUAAAUAUGAUUUAUGAGACACUUAAUAAUCUUGCACCAUCCCACUUAGUACUUACAGGAACUCUGUCCGAUCGAAGUUAGUUCUGUAACAGCAAACAGCUUACAAUCUCCGUACUGGAAAAGAUUAUUUUAUCCCAUAUGCAAGGACUGAACGUUUUAAAAAAUUAUUUUCAGUUUCCUCAGUAAAACUUUGGAACACUUUGCCACUUGACGUUCGUAUAGUUCUUACUCAUUAGCUUCUUUCCAAAACAGCUCAUGAAGUGAGGUACAAGAAGUCAAAAAUUAAUUGCCACAUUUGUAACUUAUUUUUGUAAGCCUGAG